This 71-nucleotide transfer RNA is filed under the name Marmota monax (woodchuck). RNAcentral's name for it is "tRNA.Ala". The record is from RNAcentral. Lineage: Eukaryota; Metazoa; Chordata; Mammalia; Rodentia; Sciuridae.
GGGGAUGUGGCUCAAGCGGUAGCUCGCUCGCCUGGCAUGUGUGCAGCCUGUGUUCAAUCCUCAGCACCACA